Molecule: ribosomal RNA, 529 nt
Filed under: uncultured bacterium
Lineage: Bacteria
Description: bacterial SSU rRNA
Rfam family: Bacterial small subunit ribosomal RNA
Source: RNAcentral
UAGUCCACGCCGUAAACGAUGAGAACUAGAUGUCGGGGGGAUUUACCCUUCGGUGUCGCAGCUAACGCGUUAAGUUCUCCGCCUGGGGAGUACGCCGGCAACGGUAAAACUCAAAGGAAUUGACGGGGACCCGCACAAGCGGUGGAGCAUGUGGUUUAAUUCGAUGCAACGCGAAGAACCUUACCUGCCCUUGACAUUGACAGAACCCUUUAGAGAUAGAGGGGUGCCUUCGGGCCUGGAAAACAGGUGCUGCAUGGCUGUCGUCAGCUCGUGUCGUGAGAUGUUGGGUUAAGUCCCGCAACGAGCGCAACCCUUGUCCUUAGUUGCCAUCAUUUAGUUGGGCACUCUAGGGAGACCGCCGGUGAUAAACCGGNGGAAGGUGGGGACGACGUCAAGUCAUCAUGGCCUUAUGGGGCAGGGGCUACACACGUGCUACAAUGGGGCGGUACAGAGGGGUUGCCAAGCCGCAAGGGUGGAGCUAAUCCCAGAAAGCCGUUCGUAGUCCGGGAUUGGGAGUCUGCAACUCGAC